Mercenaria mercenaria is the source of this 465-nucleotide long non-coding RNA. RefSeq lists it as uncharacterized. NCBI's taxonomy places the organism in Eukaryota, Metazoa, Mollusca, Bivalvia, Venerida, Veneridae. The transcript is spliced from 3 exons. The record is from RefSeq and is a predicted model, not a curated record.
UCGGUAAGUAAAAUAUAUGGAACAGACACAACACUUGCCUAGGAAUUAAUCUGUAUCUUUGGCUAUGACAUCGACAGUAACCUUAUUAAACAUUUAUAUCAAUUUUCUAUAUGUAUUUACGAAAACUAAUCGUAACGGGCGAAUAGACAUUAUAAUAUAUCUUACUUCCGCUUCGCAACGGUAAAUACAAAAAUCAACAAAUAAAGUUAAAACCCAUUUCCACUGUGAUCUUGACCAAAUACAAGUAGCAUUGCACAUUUGGAAUUUUUAAGAAAGAGGGAAGAUAUAACGAAGAGUAAAAAUAGAACAAGUAACGACUGAAGAUAUAACGCAGAUUUGUGUUAAAAAGUACGGUGUAUAUCAGAAAAAAAGUGGACAGGUUGCCAAAUACGGCAUAAACUAAGAGUUAUGGAGCGUGACUCGCGGAUACGAACUGAGACCCCCCUUACAGAGAUGAUUAGUAGU